UAUUAGAAUGAGUUCUAAAUGUUUCCAGUUCUAACUCAACUCUAUAAUGACAUCACUGUCUUUGUGUUUUGAUUUGAAAGUAAACUUGUUUCUGUGCUUCUAUGUGACAGAAUAUUCCUAUUUCCAUGCAUAUGAUCUGAACAUCUUUGAGGGACAAUGCAGCAAGCCAAUGAAAACCAAGCCAGAAGAGAUAGGAGCUGCUUUGAGUGCCUGACCAUAUGGAACCUGAAUAAUGAUAACCACGAUCCUGCUCUGUGGGGAGUUAAAGACAGAGAAGAAGAUGUAGAAUACCAGGAGAGACGCGAGAGUGAGGAAGGAGAUGAGGAGGAGAGGAGGAGGAGGAGGAGGAGGAGGAAGAGUAUGUAUGUGUGAUAAUAGAAGAGUCAGUGGUGGAGGAAGAUGAUGAGGAAGAGGAGCAGGAAGAUGAGGAGGAAGAGGAAGAAUAUGAGGUUACAUGUGUAGGGGAGUAUGUGGAGGAAGAGGAGGAGGAGGAAGAAUAUGAGGUUACAUGUGUAGGGGAGUAUGUGGAGGAAGAGGAGGAGGAGGAAGAAUAUGAGGUUACAUGUUUGGUGGAGUAUGUGGAGGAAGAGGAGGAAGAGGAGUGUUUGUUGAAGGUUGUGGUGAAAGAGGAGGAAGAGGAGGA
This is a long non-coding RNA of Coregonus clupeaformis (lake whitefish), 643 nucleotides long. RefSeq lists it as uncharacterized. NCBI's taxonomy places the organism in Eukaryota, Metazoa, Chordata, Actinopteri, Salmoniformes, Salmonidae. The record is from RefSeq and is a predicted model, not a curated record. The transcript is spliced from 3 exons.